RNAcentral lists this ribosomal RNA (465 nucleotides) under uncultured bacterium. RNAcentral's name for it is "partial 16S ribosomal RNA". It matches the Rfam family "Bacterial small subunit ribosomal RNA", at positions 28 to 506 of the family's 1533-position model. The record is from RNAcentral.
GAUGAACGCUGGCGGCGUGCUUAACACAAGCAAGUCGAACGAUGAAGCUCAGCUUGCUGGGUGGAUUAGUGGCGAACGGGUGAGUAACACGUGAGUAACCUGCCCUUAACUCUGGGAUAAGCCUGGGAAACUAGGUCUAAUACCGGAUAGGAGCGUCCACCGCAUGGUGGGUGUUGGAAAGAUUUAUCGGUUUUGGAUGGACUCGCGGCCUAUCAGCUUGUUGGUGAGGUAAUGGCUCACCAAGGCGACGACGGGUAGCCGGCCUGAGAGGGUGACCGGCCACACUGGGACUGAGACACGGCCCAGACUCCUACGGGAGGCAGCAGUGGGGAAUAUUGCACAAUGGGCGAAAGCCUGAUGCAGCGACGCCGCGUGAGGGAUGACGGCCUUCGGGUUGUAAACCUCUUUCAGUAGGGAAGAAGCGAAAGUGACGGUACCUGCAGAAGAAGCACCGGCUAACUACGU